ACCCUAAUUCUAUCUCAUGAACUGGACCGGCCCCUUGUCUGAUUAUUUUUUACCACCCAUCUCUCGACUGUUCAAAAUUCACCUCCCCUUAUCACCCCGGUGUAAUGAUGCUUCUGUCCUCACCCUUUGGACCUGUUAAACACCUGGCAUCUCUGUGACUCAUUCAGAAACUAAAGUUUAUUGCUUUGCCUCCAGGGUGACAGUAAAAACAUUUGACAACCUGCACUUCAUGGUCACUGACCCGUCACAACGGACAGGGCAGUGAUGGACAGAGUCCUGGAGGGACCUGUAGUGCAGAGCAUUCCUGCUUCUAAGGCUGGUACCAAGAGUCUGGGAAAGGUCUGGAGCCCAGAGGAGGAGCCAGGAACAUGGGAGCAAGGGGGCAAGGGGAGGGACUCUCAGGAGACUGGAGGUAGUUCAUGGGGAAGGACAUCCAUAAUUUAGCAACCAGUAUGACAGUAACUAUUUAAACACACCUAAGUUCCCUUGAUGUCAUUUUCUUAUGGCCGUUUGUUCUUUCUUCCCAUUCGCAGUGGAAAUUCCUUGGGGUCUAAAAUUACGCCUUAAACUUCUUGUUAUCCCAUAAGACCCAGCCCAUAGUCAUUCUCAGGGUAAGGAUGGUUUUUCUGCAUCCUGUGAUUCAGGUGACACCAGGUUGGGGAAAACCCUUGGUGCUCAGAAAUGGACAGUAUCUGACUUAGAAAACUGAACCUUAAGGUUGACCUUUCUGUGCUCAACAUCAGUAAGAAUUAAUUUCUUAUUCUCUGGGAGAUCUGGGUCCUCGGGGGACCAACCAUCUGACGGACUCAUCAUUUCAGAACCUCUGGAAGGAUGCUUUUUCAGUGCCGGUUAGGGCCUGGGAAGACCUUUUUUGGAAACUCAGGUGGAAAGGUCAGUUGCCCGUGCCUGGAAGUAACUAUCACACAUUCCACUCCCUCUUUCCCCGCCUGUGGUGGCGGUGACAGUGUCAGGGAGGAAGGUGGGACUCAUGAACCUGCCAGGCAGUGUGGAGACCACGGAUGCGUCCUUUAUAUGUGAUGUGGUUGUUGGGAGUAGUGGAAAGAGGCAUGUCUGCGCUGGCUUCGGGCAUCCUGUGGGCUCCUCUGGAGCUGGCCUGGAGAUCCUGCCAGUUUGUAGAAUGUGGCUUUCUUCGUUGCCCCAUGUUUAGAAGGAAGAAGCUGGACUACGUUUCCGUUAUCCCGCUCCUGUGUGACCAACCACCGCAAAAGGCGGGAGCGCACGCCAACAUGCAUUUGGUCACAGUUCUGCAGCUGAGCUGGGAUUGGCUGGGUGGUCCUUCUGGGGGUCUCACUGGUGUUUGCCCCCGUGGAGGCAGCCUUUCAGAUGCAAUCCACGAUGGCUCCGCUCACAGGCCUGGCGGUUCGCCAGGGCUGUCAGCCAGGAUGCUUCAGUUUUCCGUCAUGUGGUCUUUCCAGCAGGGUAUCCUGGGUUUCUAGCCCAGUGCAGCAGUGUUCUGAACAGAGAAUGCCCCAAUCCCUAGCCACAGAUGAAACUUUUUCCUGCACUGUGUUUGUGGAUGUCCCAUGGACCAAAGCAAGAGCCGUGACUAAGCCCAGAGUCACCGUGGGAGGUGACCUCAUGAGGUGUGCCUCAUGGAAUCACAAUCCACCACAGACCACGUGACCUCUAAGGUCCUCCCAGCUCCAGCAUUCUUCAUUUGCUUGGGGAUGUGUGCUCCCAUUUUUAAAUAGCAAAUUUAGAGACACCCCUCUGGAACACAGACAGCCUGCAAAUUCCCUAGUAUCCCCAAGAGGACAAAAUGGGAAGGACCUUUCCCCUGUGACACACAGCCCCUUCGUACAUAUUGGCGCUUUAAACUUUUAUUUAUUUAUAAUUUUUCUGCAUAUUUCUUCUCUUUUCAUUGAUUCAUCACAAAAUGCAUAUGUAUUAAUCCAACUAGGCUACCGCUCUUCCAGGACUGUACAGCCAUUGGCUAUAAUGAUAUCGUAGUAUAAAUGGCUGAAAGACUUGGCAUUAGUCAAUCGCACUGACCUUGAUUCCCCCCCCCUUUUUUUUUCAUAUUUUCACCCUUUAAGAUUGCACUAUACAUCCAUUUUAGUUAGAGGGCAACUGUGCAAAACUGUAAGGAAGAGAAAAAUUAAAGAAUGAAAUCUGGGAGUUCCCUGGUGGUCCAGAAGGUUAAGGAUCCAUGUUGUCAGUGCUGUGUCAUGGGUCGCUGCGGUGGCGUGGGUCGACCCCUGGCCCAGGGAAUUUUGCAUGUUGUGGGCACAGUCAAAAAAAUUUUUUGUUUUAAGAAGGAAGGAAAUUUGAACCUGAGUGUUUAGGAAAGGUUUGCACAUAAAUCAGUUCCCAAAAUGCAUUAAUAAAAUCUUAUGGAAAUUACAAAAAAAAAAAACCAUGUUUUUAAAAAAUAAAACCAUAUAAGCACGGGGAAAUAGGAAAAGGUACACGGAAAUAGCAAGUAGAUGCAAUGAGAUGAGGGUGUCUCAAACCCAGCACUGCGGACGCUUUGGACUGGAUGAUUCUUUGUGGCGGGGACUGUCUUCCACCUUGCAGGGUGUUUAUCAGCACCCUGGCCUUUACCAGCUAGGGACGCUGCCUGUCACUUGUGUAAAUAUCCUCAAACAUCGUUAAAUGCGCCUUGGGGGCAGUGGGCAAUUGUCCUGAGCUGAGAGCCAUUUGAUUAAGUGGGCUGGGAGAACGGGAGCCCAAAACAAACACAAGGAGAGGCUGCUUCAGAUGUAAGAAAGAGCCUUUCAGCUACAGCAGGAGCAGGAAUGGGCUGUGCAGGUGACACACAGGGUGAAUAGUGCACAAAGGCCUGGCUGUAGAAGAGCUGGGACAGUCACAGCCUUCCCCCUCCUCUGGCCCACAGAGAUGGCUAGCCUCAAGGAGGGUGCUUCCAUUUUUUCAUAUCAAAUUUAGAGCUCCCAGAGCUAUAAUUUUUAUAAGAUCUGGGAGGGAGAUCGUUAAGCUGAGAUGCUGAGGUUGGAGAGAGAAGCAGAGAUUCAAAUAUCUACAACAGCCAGGAAAGGAGAAAAAGAGAAAGGCGCACAAAGCCAUCUCUUCUUGGGGUUGAUGAAGGCUCUGGGUUUUGUACCAGCUCCCUAUCAAAUAUGCUUCACCAAAGCCCUCCGAUCCAGGGGAAAGGCUUGUUGAGGAAGGGGAGGUUAAAUAAUUGCAGAGCAAAUGCAGCCCAACUAUGGAUCCUGUUACAGUCACUGAUUUGUCCAUGAGAAGAAUGAUCAACAGGAUUAUGAGACAUUUGAUAAGGUCAGUCUGUACAAAAGGGGAAAAGAUAAACAAAAAUCAGUGGGCAUACAGAGUGUUUCACUUUAAUAAUAAAUAGGUGACUACACAUUGAAACAGAGGGAAAAAUAAAACAGCUCAUUUUUACCUAUUAGGCAAAAAAAUUAAAAGAAUCAUCACGUGCAGUGUUGGUAAAGCUCUGAAAAAACAAGGCAUUCUCAUGUACCUUCAGUGAGAGGACAAAACUCUUUAGGAAAUUCAUUUGGGAAAACCCAUCAAAAUGAAAAGUACACAAACACUCUGACCCAGAAAUUCUUCUUCUAGAAACUGUCCUGCAGACAUAGUCACGUAUGCACGCAAACAUAUGUGUGCAAGGAUGUUCAUGGAAACGCUCCAUGUCAUACCAGAAAGAUACUAAAUUGAGGAGCAGCUGAUGCAGUGAUGAAUAUUACGCUGCCCGUUAGUAGGCUGGAACAUCUGAAUGUACCGAUAGGAAGAAGGUGUCAGUUACUAAGUGAGAAGAAGGGAGCUCAGAACCACACGUGUAUCAUGAUGCCCCUCAUGUACCCAAAUCUCUGCGUGUUCGCCUGUCCACUGCGUGUAUACACAGGGUGUGCAGAGAUGCAGCACGGGGCUGGCAGGGCGGGCCGUUUUUGUAAGGGGCAUAGGAUACCUCUGUAAGCUUAGACACCACCUCUGCAGAGGAAGGUAGACACGGAAUGUUUACGGCUUUCAUGAAGAUCCUGUCCACUCGUUGAUCUGAGGCCGUGGAACGGACGUGCCAGUUCGAAUCAAGGCGGCCAGUGUUCUGAUUCCUAAUGCCGUGCUCAUCCCAUUCAUCCUGCCCCUUUUAAAUUUCUAAGGAUUUUAUUGUUUAUUUUAAGCCAUUUAUCACAGCUAUUAUCUUAAUUGUCAUUUUGCUUAACAACCACUGGGGCUUAGGCUGUAUUUAUCUAAUAUAUUUUAAAGAAUAUAUUAGAAAGAAUAAGCAUGCCCUUUUGACACGAGAUUGCAAGUAUU
This 4251-nucleotide long non-coding RNA is filed under the name Sus scrofa (pig). Its description in RNAcentral is "lncRNA (ENSSSCG00000052083.1)". Lineage: Eukaryota; Metazoa; Chordata; Mammalia; Artiodactyla; Suidae. The record is from RNAcentral.